GCCAUUUCUCUCACUCUCGCGGUGAGGUUUUUCUCUCUAAAUCCAUAAAGCCAUUUCUCUCUCUAAAGCCGUAACUGUGCAGUCUGGAGUUCCAUUAGAAGGAAUCAAAAGCGUACUCUCUUCCCUUAGCACCCUUGUGGUUACAAUUGUGGUUCCCCUUCUUCACCCAACAGUUGUUAUUACCUUCUUCCAAGUUGUUGCCUGCACCUUGUGGUUCCCUUGGCACCCUUGUGGUUCCAAUUUUUGUUGCCUUCUUCCCCUCGAGAAAUUCUAUAAUAUAGCCGUGGUUCCCUUAGCACGGUUUGGAUCUUGUCGCCUUCUUCCCCUUGUUGCCUUGGGUGCUGCCCUUUGAGUUCUGGCGCAAUACACUGUCGUGUUCUCCCCCUUGGCGCGUGCGGAUUUUUAUUGUUUAACUGCGGAUUCCCGCAAUACACAUUUUUCCAAAUUUCUCUUCUG
Molecule: unclassified non-coding RNA, 456 nt
Filed under: Hevea brasiliensis (rubber tree)
Lineage: Eukaryota; Viridiplantae; Streptophyta; Magnoliopsida; Malpighiales; Euphorbiaceae
Source: RNAcentral